UCCAUAGGUUAAUGAGGCGAACCGGGGGAACUGAAACAUCUAAGUACCCCGAGGAAAAGAAAUCAACCGAGAUUCCCCCAGUAGCGGCGAGCGAACGGGGAGGAGCCCAGAGCCUGAAUCAGCAUGUGUGUUAGUGGAAGCGUCCGGAAAGGCGCGCGAUACAGGGUGACAGCCCCGUACACAAAAGCGCAUGUGCUGUGAGCUCGAUGAGUAGGGCGGGACACGUGGUAUCCUGUCUGAAUAUGGGGGGACCAUCCUCCAAGGCUAAAUACUCCUGACUGACCGAUAGUGAACCAGUACCGUGAGGGAAAGGCGAAAAGAACCCCGGCGAGGGGAGUGAAAAAGAACCUGAAACCGUGUACGUACAAGCAGUGGGAGCACAGGUUUACCUGUGUGACUGCGUACCUUUUGUAUAAUGGGUCAGCGACUUAUAUUCUGUAGCAAGGUUAACCGUAUAGGGGAGC
This 464-nucleotide ribosomal RNA is filed under the name Salmonella enterica. RNAcentral's name for it is "partial 23S ribosomal RNA". It matches the Rfam family "Bacterial large subunit ribosomal RNA", at positions 163 to 666 of the family's 2925-position model. Lineage: Bacteria; Pseudomonadati; Pseudomonadota; Gammaproteobacteria; Enterobacterales; Enterobacteriaceae. The record is from RNAcentral.